AACGAACGCUGGCGGCAGGCCUAACACAUGCAAGUCGAGCGGACCUUUCGGGGUCAGCGGCGGACGGGUGAGUAACGCGUGGGAAUAUGCCCUUCUCUACGGAAUAGUCCUGGGAAACUGGGGGUAAUACCGUAUACGCCCUUUGGGGGAAAGAUUUAUCGGGGAAGGAUUAGCCCGCGUUGGAUUAGGUAGUUGGUGGGGUAAUGGUCUACCAAGCCGACGAUCCAUAGCUGGUUUGAGAGGAUGAUCAGCCACACUGGGACUGAGACACGGCCCAGACUCCUACGGGAGGCAGCAGUGGGGAAUCUUAGACAAUGGGGGCAACCCUGAUCUAGCCAUGCCGCGUGAGUGAUGAAGGCCUUAGGGUUGUAAAGCUCUUUCAGCUGGGAAGAUAAUGACGGUACCAGCAGAAGAAGCCCCGGCUAACUCCGUG
Molecule: ribosomal RNA, 433 nt
Filed under: uncultured bacterium
Lineage: Bacteria
Description: partial 16S ribosomal RNA
Rfam family: Bacterial small subunit ribosomal RNA
Source: RNAcentral